RNAcentral lists this ribosomal RNA (492 nucleotides) under uncultured bacterium. Its description in RNAcentral is "partial 16S ribosomal RNA". It matches the Rfam family "Bacterial small subunit ribosomal RNA", at positions 29 to 507 of the family's 1533-position model. The record is from RNAcentral.
AGUGAACGCUGGCGGUAGGCCUAACACAUGCAAGUCGAACGGCAGCACAGUAAGAGCUUGCUCUUACGGGUGGCGAGUGGCGGACGGGUGAGGAAUACAUCGGAAUCUACUUUUUCGUGGGGGAUAACGUAGGGAAACUUACGCUAAUACCGCAUACGACCUUCGGGUGAAAGCAGGGGAUCUUCGGACCUUGCGCGAUUGAAUGAGCCGAUGUCGGAUUAGCUAGUUGGCGGGGUAAAGGCCCACCAAGGCGACGAUCCGUAGCUGGUCUGAGAGGAUGAUCAGCCACACUGGAACUGAGACACGGUCCAGACUCCUACGGGAGGCAGCAGUGGGGAAUAUUGGACAAUGGGCGCAAGCCUGAUCCAGCCAUACCGCGUGGGUGAAGAAGGCCUUCGGGUUGUAAAGCCCUUUUGUUGGGAAAGAAAAGCAGCAGGUUAAUACCCCGCUGUUCUGACGGUACCCUAAGAAUAAGCACCGGCUAACUUCGUG